This 517-nucleotide ribosomal RNA is filed under the name bacterium enrichment culture clone OZDCA127. RNAcentral's name for it is "bacterial SSU rRNA". It matches the Rfam family "Bacterial small subunit ribosomal RNA", at positions 9 to 517 of the family's 1533-position model. The record is from RNAcentral.
GAGUUUGAUCCUGGCUCAGAUUGAACGCUGGCGGCAGGCCUAACACAUGCAAGUCGAGCGGAUGACGGGAGCUUGCUCCUUGAUUCAGCGGCGGACGGGUGAGUAAUGCCUAGGAAUCUGCCUGGUAGUGGGGGACGAACGUUUCGAAGGAACGCUAAUACCGCAUACGUCCUACGGGAGAAAGACAGGGACCGUUCGGCCGUUGCGCUAUCAGAUGAGCCUAGGUCGGAUUAGCUAGUUGGUGGGGUAAGUGGCUCACCAAGGCGACGAUCCGUAACUGGUCUGAGAGGAUGAUCAGUCACACUGGAACUGAGACACGGUCCAGACUCCUACGGGAGGCAGCAGUGGGGAAGUAUUGGACAAUGGGCGAAAGACCUGAUCCAGCCAUGCCGCGUGUGUGAAGAAGGUCUUCGGAUUGUAAAGCACUUUAAGUUGGGAGGAAGGGCAGUAAGUUAAUACCUUGCUGUUUUGACGUUACCGACAGAAUAAGCACCGGCUAACUCUGUGCCAGCCGCCG